Mirounga angustirostris (Northern elephant seal) is the source of this 2223-nucleotide long non-coding RNA. RefSeq lists it as uncharacterized. The record is from RefSeq and is a predicted model, not a curated record. The transcript is spliced from 3 exons. Lineage: Eukaryota; Metazoa; Chordata; Mammalia; Carnivora; Phocidae.
GGGACGGAAAUGGCGUCUCCGGGCGGCUAGGCGCGCGCGGAGGGUCUCAGCGGCUCCGGUUCCGCCGCCUCCGAGGCCGAGGCGCUCUCUCCCGCGCCGUUCUGCUGCGCACCCUCCGUCCCGCAAAGCCACGCUCUCCGCUCCCUUCAGCUCGUCGCAAUAAGGAACGGUAGCGGCGCCUGCUGCGGUCCUCAGCGGCACAUGGGCGCGGCCAUCUUGGGGGCGGGGCCGUUCCCUGGGACCCGUGCCCUUCCCAGGCCCAGGGGUCAGAGAGCGGCGGUCCGGCCCAGGCGGGGCAAGUGGCCCGGAGGAGGGUCUGGUAGCCGGGCCGGAGGGCCGGUCACACCCACAGACGAGGAAAGCCCGAUGCCUCAUUCUCCUGAAAUAAAUCGGGUUGCUCCCGUUUCGGGGACCCCGGGCGUCCCGGGAGAGUGGUUUUGCUUUCUGACGACACUGCCUAGAGAACGAGAGAAUCUUGGGUCUCUGACAGUGGCAGCCCCUGGUAGCUUGGCCUGCUAAAAAAGCCUGCAAGUGCCCUUGGGGAACGUGUGUGUUUCCGUAGGGUCUGGGGAAAAAGAGGCCAAGUGUGUGCUGCCCUUGUAGCUGCCUGGUCACCAAGCAGAACCCUUCGGGCGGUGCGUGGUCGGCUCUCAGCUCAGAUGCACCCAAUUCCUUCCGAGCUAGAGCCAGCAGGUGCCACGCACUGUGAGAGAAGCCUGUGACAAAAACCCUCAUGCAGUCCACCAUACACGUGUGGAGGCUUCCAUUUGGAACAUACUGCUCUCUCCCUCUCUUUCCCUUUCCCCUCUGUGCGUCAACUAACAUUCCCCGGGUGGUUUGGAUGAUUCGUAGCCCAGAUCUCCGGCGCAGAGUUCUGGGAAGUGACUGUCCAAGCCUUGAGUAGGAGUCCCGGGAGAAGAGCCCGUUCUCCCUCAGGCGUGUGAGUGGGUACUGCUCCCCACUGCGAAUGCAUUCUUCGUGCGUUUGUAAGUGAUGGCCCGGCUUGGAGAUGCUACCUGUUCGUUUCUAGAGGAGAGGUGACCUGCUAACCUUCUUUUCGGAGAUCACGAUCAGGAGGCAGGAGGAGGUUCAUCCAGGUGGGCGCAGUCAUCAGUCUAUCUUCACACCCCCAAAUCUUGAGGACAAGCUUUACGAAAAACUCUCAAGCUGCACCACAGAGACAAGAUCGGAUGGGUUGGUAGAAGAUGCUGAAAUGAUAAUUUGACUAAGUUUUCUGAAUGCAGUCUGGAAACAUUUUGCAGAAAAGCUGAAUUUAAGGGGAGAAAUUUCCUGGAGUGGAAGGAAUUGGUGUGGUGAAAAGCAUAAAGUAAAUGUUCCAGAAAAGAGAGAUACAUAUGGGAGAAUAAUUUGAUUCAGUUUUUGUUGGCUUAUGUAUGGAGAAGAACAAAUGCAUUUGCUUGGCUAACCUUAUUCUGUAACAGAUUUUUAAGGAGUGGGUGGAGGAUGGAGAGGUUAGUUGAAGAAGACUUAACCAAUUUGAAAUUUGGUUGAAAUUCCUCAUAAUUCGCACAGCUCAUAGCUAAGACAUUGAUCAAAAAUAGUUUCCAAAAUUUGUUUACUAAAUUCCUGGACGUGAACUUUUUUUUUUUUUUUUUUUUACCAGUUUGGACAUUGCAGAAACUUAGGGAAUUCAGAAUGUCAGAACAAGGGUCUUCCACUCAGAAAGGAUAAACCAGAAGUUAUUACUGGAAUUUACUGGAGAGAUUUAAUUUUUUUUUCCAGUUUUUAUCAUAGGAUUUUCCUUGGGACAUGGUAAAGGAGAACACCCCCCCCUUACCCAACAUUGUAGCCUUAUUCUCCAAAAUUGUUAAUUUCACACAUCUGAGGUUGGUAUAGGAAAUGUAAAUUCAUGUGAUUGCUGAAAGCAAAAGGUGUACUGUGGCCACACUGGGGCAGCAGACACUUGGCUUUUCUAGCUUUCUCUCCUGGAACUGUAAUAAAUGGAGCGAUCAUACACAUUACUCUUUGAUUUAAAUGUCUUUUUCAGACUGCUAAACCGAGAGAAAGGACUACCCUUAAAAUACUAACAACAGAGACCUCACGUGUUAAUUAAGAGGUUGGGGAAGAGCUUGAUUUUUUUUCCUAAAUGGCUAGUUUUUCAGAGGUCAUUGAGAGCAAGGGACUGUUUCUUAGUCAUUGGAUAGCCUCAGGGCAAUCGCAUCUCCUGAGAGCUCAAUAAAUUUUGGUUGUCGUUAGUGUUUC